CGGGUGAGUAAUGUCUGGGAAACUGCCUGAUGGGAGGGGGAUAACUACUGGAAACGGUAGCUAAUACCGCAUAACGUCGCAAGACCAAAGAGGGGGACCUUCGGGCCUCUUGCCAUCAGAUGUGCCCAGAUGGGAUUAGCUAGUAGGUGGGGUAACGGGCUCACCUAGGCGACGAUCCCUAGCUGGUCUGAGAGGAUGACCAGCCACACUGGAACUGAGACACGGUCCAGACUCCUACGGGAGGCAGCAUG
This 251-nucleotide ribosomal RNA is filed under the name uncultured bacterium. RNAcentral describes it as "partial 16S ribosomal RNA". It matches the Rfam family "Bacterial small subunit ribosomal RNA", at positions 103 to 353 of the family's 1533-position model. The record is from RNAcentral.